UCAGCCGCCGCGGUAAUACCAGCAGCCCGAGUGGUGGUCGCGUUUAUUGGGCCUAAAGCGCUCGUAGCCUGGCCGGUAAGUUCCCCGUGAAAUCGGGUCGCCCAACGAUUCGGCUUGCGGGGAAUACUGUCGGUCUUGGGGCCGGGAGACGCCGAGGGUACUCCGGGGGUAGCGGUGAAAUGCUGUAAUCCUCGGGGGACUACCAGUGGCGGAGGCGCUCGGCGAUAACGGGCCUGACGGUGAGGGGCGAAAGCUGGGGGCGCGAACGGGAUUAGAUACCCCGGUAGUCCCAGCCGUAAAGGAUGCGGGCAAGGUGCUCGUCGCUCUUCGAGGGCGCCGGGUGCCGUAGAGAAGUCGUUAAGCCCGCCGCCUGGGAAGUACGGUCGCAAGGCUGAAACUUAAAGGAAUUGGCGGGGGAGCACAAGAAUUGGCGGG
RNAcentral lists this ribosomal RNA (435 nucleotides) under uncultured archaeon. Its description in RNAcentral is "bacterial SSU rRNA". It matches the Rfam family "Archaeal small subunit ribosomal RNA", at positions 458 to 892 of the family's 1478-position model. The record is from RNAcentral.